This 85-nucleotide transfer RNA is filed under the name Felis catus (domestic cat). It matches the Rfam family "tRNA". From Rfam's summary of the family: Transfer RNA (tRNA) molecules are approximately 80 nucleotides in length. The record is from Rfam by way of RNAcentral. Lineage: Eukaryota; Metazoa; Chordata; Mammalia; Carnivora; Felidae.
GCCUGGGUGGCUCAGUCGGUUGAGCGUCUGACUUCGGCUCAGGUCAUGAUCUCGUGGUCUGUGAGUUCGAGCCCCGCACUGGGCU